Molecule: long non-coding RNA, 171 nt
Organism: Nanorana parkeri
Lineage: Eukaryota; Metazoa; Chordata; Amphibia; Anura; Dicroglossidae
Exons: 3
Source: RefSeq, a predicted model, not a curated record
AGCCGGCGGAGUCCCCGCAGAGCUGGCGGAGCGGCGGAAGGAGGCUUACGCCUGUCUGCAGACUCUGUGCACCCAUUCCUACUGGUUCGACAUCUGGAUCUUCUUACUGUUUGACCUGGUGCUGUUCAUCUUCAUCUAUCUGCUGCCCUGAAAUGCUGUAGAACAUUCCUG